CCUACGGGUGGCUGCAGUGGGGAAUAUUGGACAAUGGGCGCAAGCCUGAUCCAGCCAUGCCGCGUGAGUGAUGAAGGUCUUAGGAUUGUAAAGCUCUUUCACCGGUGAAGAUAAUGACGGUAACCGGAGAAGAAGCCCCGGCUAACUUCGUGCCAGCAGCCGCGGUAAUACGAAGGGGGCUAGCGUUGUUCGGAAUUACUGGGCGUAAAGCGCACGUAGGCGGAUAUUUAAGUCAGGGGUGAAAUCCCAGAGCUCAACUCUGGAACUGCCUUUGA
This 275-nucleotide ribosomal RNA is filed under the name uncultured bacterium. Its description in RNAcentral is "partial 16S ribosomal RNA". It matches the Rfam family "Bacterial small subunit ribosomal RNA", at positions 338 to 630 of the family's 1533-position model. The record is from RNAcentral.